RNAcentral lists this ribosomal RNA (450 nucleotides) under uncultured bacterium. RNAcentral describes it as "partial 16S ribosomal RNA". It matches the Rfam family "Bacterial small subunit ribosomal RNA", at positions 338 to 795 of the family's 1533-position model. The record is from RNAcentral.
CCUACGGGCGGCUGCAGUAAGGAAUAUUGGUCAAUGGACGAAAGUCUGAACCAGCCAUCCCGCGUGCAGGAUGAAAGCCCUAUGGGUUGUAAACUGCUUUUAGCAGAGAAGAAAAGCUUUCAUUAAUGAGAGUCUGACGGUAUCUGCAGAAUAAGCACCGGCUAACUCCGUUCCAGCAGCCGCGGUAAUACGGAGGGUGCGAGCGUUAUCCGGAUUUACUGGGUCGAAGGGGUACGUAGACGUCGUAUGAGAAAUCUUGUCGCUUAACGAUAAAAUUGCAAAUGAGACUGGUACGCUUGAAGUGGGUUGAGGUUAGCGGAAUGUGACAUGUAGCGGUGAAAUGCAUAGAUAUGUCAUGGAACACCAAUUGCGAAGGCAGCUAACUGGGCCUUGAUUGACGCUGAGGCACGAAAGCGUGGGUAGCGAACAGGAUUAGAUACCCGAGUAGUC